RNAcentral lists this ribosomal RNA (468 nucleotides) under uncultured bacterium. Its description in RNAcentral is "partial 16S ribosomal RNA". It matches the Rfam family "Bacterial small subunit ribosomal RNA", at positions 28 to 507 of the family's 1533-position model. The record is from RNAcentral.
GACGAACGCUGGCGGCGUGCUUAACACAUGCAAGUCGAACGGAAAGGCCCUGCUUUUGUGGGGUGCUCGAGUGGCGAACGGGUGAGUAACACGUGAGUAACCUGCCCUUGACUUUGGGAUAACUUCAGGAAACUGGGGCUAAUACCGGAUAGGAGCUCCUGCUGCAUGGUGGGGGUUGGAAAGUUUCGGCGGUUGGGGAUGGACUCGCGGCUUAUCAGCUUGUUGGUGGGGUAGUGGCUUACCAAGGCUUUGACGGGUAGCCGGCCUGAGAGGGUGACCGGCCACAUUGGGACUGAGAUACGGCCCAGACUCCUACGGGAGGCAGCAGUGGGGAAUAUUGCACAAUGGGCGGAAGCCUGAUGCAGCAACGCCGCGUGCGGGAUGACGGCCUUCGGGUUGUAAACCGCUUUCGCCUGUGACGAGGCGUGAGUGACGGUAAUGGGUAAAGAAGCACCGGCUAACCACGUG